AAAAAGAACUGGAGACUAUAAAAGGGUAUGCAUGGAAGUCUAGAGAUCACAGAAAACACACACUUCAUUUCUUAAGAAAAAAGUUGUUGAAGUUUGAAGAGAUCAUGAGGGCAAUAUAUAUUAUCAGCAUCAUUAUAGUGAGCUUGAGCAUUUUCUCUUGUGGUGGGAAUGCUCGACUUCUUCCUGCUAAUAGAGAUUAUCCAUGGGCAAUGUUUGCCCUAAGGCUUCAAUGGCCAGCUGGAUUUUACGAGGUCAACAAUGACUGUGAUACAAAGUCUCUCCUCAACACAUUUACCAUUCACGGCCUUUAUCCCUAUAACGCGAAGGGGAUCCCAGUGUUAUAUUGUGACGGAACUGCCUUUGAUGUUAACUCUGUGAGUUCUCUCAGUCUGCAUUUAAUUUACUUCUUAAAAUCCUUGCUCUAUUGUCUAUUAAAUAUGUUUUUUUGUGGUAACAUUUAUAUAUAUCUUGAAGAGUUGGAUAUGUUUGUUUGAUAAAAAAAAUGAAAUUGUACAUGCAAUAUAUAUCCAUACAUACUCACAUAUGUUAAACUAAUUUCUCUCCUCCUUUAUUUUGAAAAUUAACAGGUAUCGGACUUUCAAGCAGAAAUGCAUCUUGCAUGGCCGAGUCAUGAAACUAAUACUGAGGACAAACAAUUCUGGGAACACGAGUGGAAUAAACAUGGAAGGUGCUCAGAAGCUUUGUUGAAGCAGACUGAUUAUUUUAGAACGGCGCUUGCUUUUAGAAAAGCAUUUGAUAUAAUUGGGCUACUAAACCAGGAAGGUAAACAUACCCAUUGAUAUAUAAUUAAAUAGUCUUUAAUUUGGUUCAUUAAUUGCUUCCUAAGGGAACUACGUACUUAAUUUAGAUUUUGUGGAUGAUUAAUUGAUAAUGUGAGUUUGAUGAGAUUACUAUUCAAAAAUGUGUAGGGAUUUACCCGAAUAACGACCUUUAUCGUCCUAAAAUGAUAAAAGAAGCAAUCAAAAAGCACUUGAAUGCUGUGCCAGAAAUCGAUUUCACCAAAAACGAAAACUCAGAAUAUGUGCUUACGGAUAUUAAUCUAUGUGUGAACCAACAAGCAACAAGGUUCGUAGAUUGCCCUACCGAUGACGCUACUGAUGACUACCGCCUCAAAUUCGUAAGACUACCUUCUAAAAUGAAAAUUGCGGAUCCGAGGACCAAUUCUAUAAUAUAGCACAAAUGGUACGGCUACAAAAUGGACUACUAUCUUGUUUAAUUAAUGCUUUUGGGAGUAUAUAUUAUCUAUGUAAAAUAGUUAUGAGUGCUAGGGUUGGCUAAUUAGUACUAUGAGGCCAACCUUUAGUAUCUCUUGAAUAAUGUCCAUGUAGCAAAAGUUUAUAGCACUCUGGCCUUGGUGUGUAUGGAUAAUUAUAAUAAAUGACUACUUUUAUCUGCAAAAAAAAAUAAAAUCCAAGUAUUUUCUUUUGUUUUUAUUUUUGAUAAGAAUUUAAUUUUAUGUAGUUUGAUGGCAUAGUUUAUCUAGGAAGCUGAUAUUUUCACAUGUUAAAAUGAUAUUUUCAAACGAGUCUCUCACAAUAUGGAUGUGGGACUUGCUCACUAUUCAUGUGAGAGGGAUUAUGUGAAAAUAUCAAAUUUUUAUGUGAAAAUAUUAGCUCCCUUUAUCUAUUAUAAUGGUGAAACAUGACUUUUUGAUAUUUUUCACAUGAAAAUCGUCGCUAUAGAUCCUUUAGUAGUGGUUUUUACUGUCGCUAUACAUCUCUAUAGCUACAUUUUUUAUAUAAAAAUAUCAAAAAAAUAUGUGGAAAUAUCAAGCAUGCAUGCAUCGUACCAGAAAACAUUUAAAGGGACACUUCAAAGGGAUUUCAGACAAAAAAUAAAACCAAAAAUAAAUGAUUUCAUCACAAUUUUGUUUUCAAGUAUUGUCGCAAAUCAGUGGUCACUAAAAAAAAAAAGGAAAAUAUAUUUGUCGCAAUCUAUAAAACAUGACUGAAAACAGGGGCGAAGCCACAGUUCAGGAUGUGUGGUCAAUUGAUUUCAUUGAAAAAUAUAUAUUUUAUAAUAUAUGAUAAAUUUAAAGAAUAUUUAAGUGUAAUAAAUAAAUUGACUUCAUUGAAAUUUUAUAACCUUUUUAAUAUACGGUGUUAAAUUGAAUUUUUUAUAACUUUCUCAAUUCUAUAUUAUUUCUACUCCUUGAUGUAUGCUUAUUUCUCUAAUAUUUUUAAAAUAAAUAAUAAUUUAAUUUAUAUUAUUUUUAUAUCAUAAGAAAUUUAAAUAUUUAUUAACAAAUUUAUGAUUAAAAAACGUAUUAGGGGUCAAUAAGGAGUUUUUUUGUGUGUGUGUGUGUGUGUGUGUGUAUAUAUAUAUACAUGUUGUUUCAUUUUAUGUCUUUAGGUUUAGUUUAUCAGGAUACUAGGUAGAUUAUUUCAUUUGGGUCUCUCUUGAGCCUUAAUUUUAGGUUGCCCUCUUUUAUAAAGAGGAUGAUUCGAUUUCAACUGCUGACAUCUGUACCAGUUGGUUCAUGGACAAGUUUCUUUUGAUAAGUUAGUAUCAUGGACAAAUAUAAAUAAUAAUUAACUGUUACAAUGAAAAUUAAACUUCAAUUAAGUCUAGGCCAUUCAUACAUUGAAAAAAGCUUCUUGAAUAGGUUAGAGAGUUUGUGAAAUAUUUUUUUAGUUUGCUUAACCCUUUGAAAAGCGGUUGUGGUAAGAACAAAUAUUGAUAAGUUAUUGAAACACCGCUUUUCAAAGGGUUAAGCAAACUAAAAAAAUAUUUCACAAACUCUCUAACCUAUUCAAGAAGCUUUUUUCAAUGUAUGAAUGGCCUAGACUUAAUUGAAGUUUAAUUUUCAUUAUAACAGUUAAUCAUUAUUUAUACUUGUCCAUGAUACUAACUUAUCAAAAGAAACUUGUCCAUAAACCAACUGGUACAGAUGUCAGCAGUUGAAACCGAAUCAUCCCCUUUAUAAAAGAGGGCAACCUAAAAUUAAGGCUCAAGAGAGACCCAAAUGAAAUAAUCUACCUAGUAUCCUGGUAAACUAAACCUAAAGACAUAAAAUGCAGUAACAUAUGUACAUGAAGGACAUAUUGAAACACUGCUUUUUUUUUCUUUUUUGAUAAGUUAUUAAAACACCGCUUUUCAAAGGGUAAGCAAACUUGAUACAGGAAGAGAAGUAACCCUUUGAGCAGCAGGAACCCAUCUGGGUGGAGGCGAAUCCAACAAUCAACUCAGAAUUACAAAAUCCUAUACAAUAAGAUUACACACAAACUCUAAAUUUCAUUCAUUUAGUUAGAAAAUUAGAAAAUACCUUGGGAGACGACGAACUUGCUUUCGAAUUCGUCCGGCGAACUUGCUUUCGAAUUCGUCCGACGAGAUGCUUGGAUUUGCGAUUGAGAAUGAGCCAGAUUUCGUCUGGCGAGAUGCUUGGAUUCGCGAUUGAGAAUGAGCAAGAUGGUCUCUGUCCUUUUUUUGACCCGAAAAGGAUCCGCGGCUAUUUUUUCCCAAAAGGUCUGUGUCUUUUCCUCGCCGUUGGAUGUAUCUCACGAUUAGUAUGAAAAGUUCGUAUUUUUGGCAACAUCCGGGCGCCCGGACCAGAUCGUUUCUGUAUAUGUAUGUAUGUAUAUAUAUAUAUAUAUAUAUAUAUAUAUAUAUAUAUAUAUAUGCGUUGUGAGAUCUGUGGUAUUGUGUUGCAUGGGGUAAUAUAAACUAUGCAAUAAGUGAUUUCUGUGUUUAAUAAAUAUAUUAUUAUAUAUUUGUUAUUUAUUGAAGAGGCAAGUUAUUUGAAGUAAAGAAGAUGGAUAAAAAUUUAUCGAUAUUAAAUAAUUUAUGUGAAAUUAUUUUAUCGUAGUAAGUUGGUGACAUUAAAUAUAUUUGAUAAUCACCAAUUUCUUUAGUAUAUGUAUGAGUAAGUAUCACGUCUAAGGCAGUGCAACCGUACCCUUUAAUGGUGGUUGUGUAGGAGCUGGGCUAACUGAUUCCUUCAGAGAGCGGAGAUAUAUACAAAUUAGUAACCGAUCUAACUUACUGUGAAAACAGUGUAGACGAGAAGGAAAGUAAUUUGUUGGUUAUUUGUGGGAAACCACUCAGUGUACUAUAUUGAAUACUAUUAAAGACUCGAUGUGUGUUAGGUUUAGACUUGUAUAUAUAUACGUUAUUGACGAGAGAAGAAAAUCGAUAUAUCUUUAGAUAAAUAUUGGUUAGAGAUUUAUUGAUUAAUAUUGAGAUAUGAUUAAAUGUAUAGAUUAAAGAAAUUGUGUUGAGACAAUUUAUAGAAAGGAAAGAGAAAUAAUUAUAGUAUAUUUCUAAUAAAGGAUAUUAAAAUAAAUUCUAGCAUUUGAUUAUUUUAAUAAUAAUGGGGAAUAUUAUUUUGAAAUUACCUUAUAGGUAAUGUGUGUGAUUAAGUAAUAUGGUAAAUAUAUUAAAACAUAUUUGCUAUAUAAGUUGAUGGAAACAAUUUAUCAUAAUAGGAAAUAAACUUAUUUUCUAUAUAUAGUGUGUACGUGUGUCGUGCAUGUAAAUAUUUUAAUAAUACAUAGAUAUUAUAUUAACAAUAAUAUCUUGAGAAAAUGAGUAAAUCGUUUUAUUAUGAUUAGUUCCUAUAUUUAGAGAAAACAUGAUAAAAUCAUCGUAUGUUAUGUUAUGGCGAAAUACAUAAUUUUGAUUGUAGUAAUGUAUUUCCAAGAAGGUUAAAGUUAAAAGAAAACUAAGUUAUUCUAAUAACUUGAGUUAUUAUAUUACCGCGAAUGUUAUAAAGAAUAUUUAAAUAUCUUCAUUCACGAUAUAUUUAUAUAUGUGAAUCUUGUGAUAUAAUAGUUCGAUGUAAAUUGAACAUAUUAUAAAUAGUAAGGUUCGUGGUAAAUGAAUAAGUAAUGAGAAUGAGGAUAAGCUUAAUGUAAGCUUGUGAGAUAUGCCUAGUGUGGUAAAGUGAUGGAAUAAACAUUCAUUAAAUAAUUUAAUGAAUGAAUAAUUGAAGGAAUUAAAUUGUAUGUGCAAUGAUUAUAUAUUAUAUAGUAACUACAUCUAUAUGAUAUGAAAUGAAGUGUGACACUUCAAUGGUAACUAUAUAAUAUAUGAAGUAUUUGAAUACAUAUGUAUAAAGACUAGUAUGCUAGCAUUAUGUACAAGUGAGAUAAUAAAUGUAAUAUGGUACAAUAGACCACUUCCAUGACCAUAUUAUAAGAUGUAAUGUUAAGAAUAAUAUUAUUUUGUGAGAUUAUUUUAUUAUAAGCUUGUGGACUAUUAAUUACUAAGUUCACAUAAUUAUGUCUUGUGUGGCAUAACUAGUGAAGUUAAAUCAAAGGGAGAAUUAAUGGAAAGUAUUAAAAGAAAAUAAAUGGUGAGUUAAUAAAUAAUUGAUAUUAAUUAUCAUUAUGAUAAUUGAGGGUAUUUGAGGUAAUAAAGUUUAUGGAAAAUGAUGGAUUGAGAAUAUCCAACUAUUUUAUAUUUAGCCCAAUAAAAAUAUUAAUUGAAAUAAACCAAUGUACAUAGAUUAUAUAAAUUCUAUGUGUAAUGUAUAAGUGAGUGUAUAUGUAUGAUCAUUUUUGGACAAAUAUCAAAUAAACCUAAGUAUGCUAAUAGUAAUACAAAAUGUUGAGUUUUAAGGGUAGUGUCCCAAAUUGUGUGUCAUUUCUCCAUACACGUGAAAUGCAAAAAGGAUAGCUAGCUAGCUUGCUUCUUCUUCUCCAAAAUCCAUAGCUUCCAAAUGAUGAAAAGGGGAGUGAGUUGAUUUGAUUUUCCACCAACUUCUCAUGAACCAUUAGUUUCUUCUUCAUUCCAUUGAGCAAAGUUCCAAUGUUGGUCAAAAAGUUUUCCUAUAAAUGAAGCAAGUUUCAUUCUUGUACUUCUUGUUGAUCACUCUGUGAAGUUCAAAAAUUUGUGUGUGUGAGUGUUGUUGAGUUGGAGAGGAAACUUGAGAUUGAAAGCAAAGAGUUUACUUCACAACUUUAGAAGGUAAUAUCCCUCUAUAUGUUAUUGAAUUCAAGUUUUGCAAAGUUCUUAAAAAAGUACUAAAAUACUUGUUUUGAGUUGAAAAGUUUAUGGUUGAAGCAUGAUAAAGUGUGUCAAUUGAUGCUAGACACUGAUAAUAUAG
This 6067-nucleotide long non-coding RNA is filed under the name Panax ginseng (ginseng). Its description in RNAcentral is "long non-coding RNA (PGIN_LNC000844)". Lineage: Eukaryota; Viridiplantae; Streptophyta; Magnoliopsida; Apiales; Araliaceae. The record is from RNAcentral.